CAAACUUGUAGCAUCAUACCAAGAUGACUCAAGGCUGUAAUCACUGCCAAAGGUGCUUCAACAAAAUACUGAUAAUUGGGUCUGAAUACUUUCUGAAUGUACUGUAUACAAAAGUAUGUGGACAGGCUGUAAUCACUGCCAAAGGUGCUUCAACAAAAUACUGAGUAAAGGGUCUGAAUACUUAAUACUUACUUUAAAUUUGAUAGCUCUUUUUUUUUUUUUUUUUUUUUUUUUUUUGCCCACCAAAAAUGUAACGUGUUUUUGCUUUGUCUUUAUGCCAUAUUGUGUGUAGAUUGAAGUUUUUUUUAAAGUACAUUUUAGAAUAAGGCUGUGUGUCACGCCCUGGCCAUAGAGAGGCUUUUAUUCUCUAUUUUGGUUAGGCCAGGGUGUGACUAGGGUGGGCAUUCUAUGUUCAUUUUCUAUGUUUUGUAUUUCUUUGUUGUGGUUCUCAAUCAGAGGCGGCUGUCUAUCGUUGUCUCUGAUUGAGAACCAUACUUAGGUAGCUUUUUCCCACUGGGUUUUUGUCGUUAGUUGUUUUCUGUUUUUGUGUCUACACCAGACAGAACUGUUUUGGUUAUUCCCUUUGUUAUUUUUGUAUUUAGUGUUCAGUGUCAAUAAAAUAACAUGAACCACGCUGUGCUUUGGUCCUCACCUUCUUCCACCAAUGGCCGUUACACUGUGAUAUAACAAAAUGUGGAAAAAGUCAAGAGGUCUGAAUACUUUCUGAAUGCACUGCAGCAGAAUGAUUGAAUUAGCAUUAUUUAGGAACCCCCCAUCCAUUUGAGGGGACUCAUGUCCAGUGGCGACCUGUCUUUCAGGGCCACACCUGUUUAGCUGUUUUGCAUGUAAUUUCGGCAUUCAUUUGUGUUCCAUAUCAGUUUGCAAACGAUGUACAAACAAAAUUAUCCCUGACUUAAUAAAGCCCCAUACAAAUAUGGUAUUUUUCUUGAGUCAGACAGCUCCAAAUUGCAUGUGUUUUAGCCUAGCUCCGUGCUUUCUGU
Molecule: long non-coding RNA, 1001 nt
Organism: Oncorhynchus tshawytscha (Chinook salmon)
Lineage: Eukaryota; Metazoa; Chordata; Actinopteri; Salmoniformes; Salmonidae
Source: Ensembl